GUAGGUGGCAAGCGUUGUCCGGAAUUAUUGGGCGUAAAGCGCGCGCAGGCGGUCCUUUAAGUCUGAUGUGAAAGCCCACGGCUCAACCGUGGAGGGUCAUUGGAAACUGGGGGACUUGAGUACAGAAGAGGAAAGCGGAAUUCCAAGUGUAGCGGUGAAAUGCGUAGAGAUUUGGAGGAACACCAGUGGCGAGGGCGGCUUUCUGGUCUGUAACUGACGCUGAGGCGCGAAAGCGUGGGGAGCAAACAGGAUUAGAUACCCUGGUAGUCCACGCCGUAAACGAUGAGUGCUAAGUGUUAGGGGGUUUCCCGCCCCCCUUAGUGCUGCAGCUAACGCAUUAAGCACUCCGCCUGGGGAGUACGGCCGCAAGGCUG
This 374-nucleotide ribosomal RNA is filed under the name uncultured organism. Its description in RNAcentral is "partial 16S ribosomal RNA". It matches the Rfam family "Bacterial small subunit ribosomal RNA", at positions 527 to 896 of the family's 1533-position model. The record is from RNAcentral.